AACCAUAGAAACCUGCGGAGUACCUGCGGAGGGAUCAUUACAGAGUUGCAAAACUCCCUAAACCAUUGUGAACGUUACCUAAACCGUUGCUUCGGCGGGCGGCCCGGGUCUUUCCCGGCGCCCCUCGGCCCUCGCGGGCGCCCGCCGGAGGUAAACCAAACUAUUGCAUUGUAUGGCCUCUCUGAGUCUUCUGUACUGAAUAAGUCAAAACUUUUAACAACGGAUCUCAGAUCGGAAGAG
This 240-nucleotide unclassified non-coding RNA is filed under the name soil metagenome. RNAcentral describes it as "partial contains 5.8S ribosomal RNA, internal transcribed spacer 2, and large subunit ribosomal RNA". The record is from RNAcentral.